CCAAUAGCGUGUAUUAAAGUUGUUGCAGUUAAAAAGCUCGUAGUUGAAUUUCGGGAUUGACGUGACGGUCAUGCCUUAAGGGGUAUGAACUGUUACAGUUGAUUUCUCACCUUCUGGAGAAACUUGAUGUCCUUUAUUGGGUGUCUUGCGGAUCCAGGACCUUUACCUUGAAAAAAUUAGAGUGUUUAAAGCAGGCAUUUUUGCUCGAAUACAUUAGCAUGGAAUAAUAGAAUAGGACGGCAUGGUUCUAUUUUGUUGGUUUCUAGGAUCACCGUAAUGAUUAAUAGGGAUAGUUGGGGGCAUUAGUAUUCAAUUGUCAGAGGUGAAAUUCUUGGAUUUAUUGAAGACUAACUACUGCGAAAGCAUUUGCCAAGGAUGUUUUCAUUAAUCAAGAACGAAAGUUAGGGGAUCGAAGACGAUCAGAUACCGUCGUAGUCUUAACCAUAAACUAUGCCGACUAGGAAUCAGACGAUGUUAAUUUUUUAAUGACUCGUUUGGCACCUUACG
Molecule: ribosomal RNA, 507 nt
Filed under: uncultured Glomeromycotina
Lineage: Eukaryota; Fungi; Glomeromycota
Description: partial small subunit ribosomal RNA
Rfam family: Eukaryotic small subunit ribosomal RNA
Source: RNAcentral